CAGGUUUAUUAAUGCCAGAAGAAGAAUAGUACAGCCUAUGAUUGACCAGUCAAAUCGAGCAGGUUUUCUUCUUGAUCCUUCAGUGAGCCAAGGAGCAGCAUAUAGUCCAGAGGGUCAGCCGAUGGGAAGCUUUGUAUUGGAUGGUCAGCAGCACAUGGGAAUCCGGCCUGCAGGACCUAUGAGUGGAAUGGGCAUGAAUAUGGGCAUGGAUGGGCAAUGGCACUACAUGUAACCUUCAUCUUGUAAACCAAUCGCAAAGCAAGGGGGAAGUUUGCAAGGCAUGCCAGGGGACUACGUAUCUCAGGGUGGUCCUAUGGGUAUGAGUAUGGCACAGCCAAGUUACACUCCUCCCCAGAUGACCCCACACCCUACUCAAUUAAGACAUGGACCCCCAAUCCAUUCAUAUUUGCCAAGUCACCCCCAUCACCCAGCCAUGAUGAUGCACGGAGGACCCCCUAUCCACCCUGGAAUGACCAUGUCAGCACAGAGCCCCACAAUGUUAAAUUCUGUAGACCCCAGUGUUGGUGGACAGGUUAUGGACAUUCAUGCCCAAUAGUAUAAGGGAACUCAAGGGAAAAACAGAAAAAAAAUAAAAAAGAAAACAAAAACAAAAACUAUUUUAAGACUUUUGAACUUUGACCAGAUGUUGACACUUAAUACGAAAUUCCAGACAGCUGUGAUUAUUUUUUACUUUUUGUCAUUUUUCAUCAACAACAGAGGACCAACGAAACAAGAACACAAAUGUGAAAUCAUGGGCUCACUGAAAUGAAUAUGUCCAUGUACAGAUCCUCUGGAAAAAAAAAAGACUCCAAGAGUUAUAACUACUGUAGUAUAAACAUAGGAACUAAGUUAACUUGUACAUUUCUGUUGAUCACUCCGUUACGUUGCCUCAAAUAGUUUUAGAAGAAAAAAAAAUCCUUGUUUUCCACACUAUGUGUGUUGUUCCAAAAAUAAUGACUGUUUUGUUUCAGCAGUGAAGUCACUAUCCAUGAAAGACCUGUUUUGGCCAGUGAGAAAAGAACUACCCUGGAGAUGAAGAUGAAAAGUCUUGCUGGGUCUCUCAUCACUCAGAAGACUGUUCCAAGAAGGCCUUGCCAUUCCCUCGUUUUGUUCCUCCAUAAAAUGUGUCCUUUAGUUUCAAACAGAUCUUUUUAGUUUGUGCUUCAUUAAGUCUCUCCCCAUUCCUCCCCAAUCUAUUUUUUUUUUUUUUUUGGACUCUUCUUCAAAGAGCUUGCAGGUGAAGAUUUAAAAGACAGAACAGACAGAGCAGGAGCUUCUUCCAGUAGUUCUAAGCCUUGGCUUUGGACAAAACAAAACUAAAAGUUGGGCAGCUUUCCUCAAUGAAAGAAGUUACUAACGGUCUUUGCACCAAACCUAGGACUUUAUCAUGAACUCAAAGCUUGGGAAAAAAAAAAAAAGCAAGAGAAUACUGUAACAAACUUCGUACAGAGUUCGGUCUAUUAAUUGUUUCAUGUUAGAUAUUCUAUGUGUUUACCUCAAUUGAAAAAAAAAGAAUGUUUUUGCUAGUAUCAGAUCUGCUGUGGAAUUGGUAUUGUAUGUCCAUGAAUUCUUCCUUUCUCAGCACGUGUUCCUCACUAGAAGAAAAUGCUGUUACCUUUAAGCUUUGUCAAAAUUUACAUUAAAAUACUUGUAUGAGGACUGUGACGUUAUGUUUUAAAAAGAAAAACAAAGGUGUUAAGUCACAAAAUGCGGUAAUAAAUAUUUCAUUUUUGA
Long non-coding RNA from Eurypyga helias (sunbittern), 1734 nucleotides. RefSeq lists it as uncharacterized. The record is from RefSeq and is a predicted model, not a curated record. NCBI's taxonomy places the organism in Eukaryota, Metazoa, Chordata, Aves, Eurypygiformes, Eurypygidae. The transcript has 4 exons.